RNAcentral lists this ribosomal RNA (463 nucleotides) under uncultured bacterium. RNAcentral's name for it is "bacterial SSU rRNA". It matches the Rfam family "Bacterial small subunit ribosomal RNA", at positions 66 to 524 of the family's 1533-position model. The record is from RNAcentral.
ACGGAUUCAAGGGGCUUGCUCCUUGAGUUAGUGGCGAACGGGUGAGUAAAGCAUCGGAACGUACCCAGUAGUGGGGGAUAACGUAGCGAAAGUUACGCUAAUACCGCAUACGACCUGAGGGUGAAAGCAGGGGAUCGCAAGACCUUGCGCUAUUGGAGCGGCCGAUGUCGGAUUAGCUAGUUGGUAGGGUAAAAGCCUACCAAGGCGACGAUCCGUAGCUGGUCUGAGAGGACGACCAGCCACACUGGGACUGAGACACGGCCCAGACUCCUACGGGAGGCAGCAGUGGGGAAUUUUGGACAAUGGGCGAAAGCCUGAUCCAGCCAUGCCGCGUGAGUGAAGAAGGCCUUCGGGUUGUAAAGCUCUUUCAGACGGAAAGAAAUUGCUCUGGAUAAUACCUGGAGUAGAUGACGGUACCGUAAGAAGAAGCACCGGCUAACUACGUGCCAGCAGCCGCGGUAAU